ACACUGGUGGAGAGUUUGAUCCUGGCUCAGGAUCAACGCUGGCGGCGUGCCUAAUGCAUGCAAGUCGAACGGGGCGUCCUUCGGGGCGCUCACGUGGCGGACGGGUGAGGAACACGUGGGCAAGCUGCCCCGAGGCAGGGGGUAGCCACCGGAAACGGUGGGUAAUUCCGUAUAGGGCGGCAUCUCAUGUGGGAGGUGUCGGCAAAGGGGCAACCCGCCUUGGGAGGCGCCUGCGGCCGAUUAGCUGGACGGUGGGGUAACGGCCUACCGUGGCGAUGAUCGGUAGCUGGUCUGAGAGGAUGAUCAGCCACACGGGGACUGAGACACGGCCCCGACUCCUACGGGAGGCAGCAGCAAGGAAUUUUCCGCAAUGGGCGCAAGCCUGACGGAGCAACGCCGCGUGCGGGAAGACGCGUUUCGGCGUGUAAACCGCUGUUCGUGGGGACGAAGCACUGACGGUACCCACGGAGGAAGGCCCGGCUAACUACGUGCCAGCAGCCGCGGUAAUACGUAGGGGUCGAGCGUUGUCCGGAGUUACUGGGCGUAAAGCGUGCGCAGGCGGCUCAUUGCGCCCGGCGUGAAAGCCCCCGGCUCAACCGGGGAGAGUCGUCGGGGACGGGUGAGCUUGAGGGUCGCAGGGGCUGGUGGAAUUCCCGGUGUAGUGGUGAAAUGCGUAGAGAUCGGGAGGAACACCCGUGGCGAAGGCGGCCAGCUGGGCGACACCUGACGCUGAGGCACGAAGGCGUGGGGAGCGAACGGGAUUAGAUACCCCGGUAGUCCACGCAGUAAACGAUGCAGACUAGGCGUGGGGGGACUUGACCCCCUCCGUGCCGGAGCUAACGCGGGAAGUCUGCCGCCUGGGGAGUACGGCCGCAAGGCUAAAACUCAAAGGAAUUGACGGGGGCCCGCACAAGCGGCGGAGCGUGUUCUUUAAUUCGUCGCAACGCGAAGAACCUUACCAAGGAUUGACAUGUCCCUGCAGAGCCGGGAAACCGGUUGGCCUUCGAGGGUGGGACACAGGUGCUGCAUGGCUGUCGUCAGCUCGUGUCGUGAGAUGUUGGGUUAAGUCCCGCAACGAGCGCAACCCUUGUGUCCAGUUGUGUUUUUCUGGACAGACUGCCGGGAGCAAACCGGAGGAAGGUGGGGAUGACGUCAAGUCCGCAUGGCCCUUACACCUUGGGCGAGAAACACGCUACAAUGGCCAGGACAACGGGUUGCCAAGCGGUAACGUGGAGCUAAUCCCCCAAACCUGGUCUCAGUUCGGAUCGUGGGCUGCAACUCGCCCACGUGAAGGCGGAGUCGCUAGUAACCGCGGGUCAGCAGUACCGCGGUGAAUAUGUUCCCGGGCCUUGUACACACCGCCCGUCACGUCAUGAAAGCCGGCAACACCUGAAGCCGGUGGGCCAACCCUUCGGGGGGGCAGCUGUCGAGGGUGGGGCUGGUGAUUGGGACGAAGUCGUAACAAGGUAGCCGUAGCGGAAGCUGCGGCUGGAUCACCUCCUUUCUA
Molecule: ribosomal RNA, 1507 nt
Filed under: uncultured Thermomicrobiales bacterium
Lineage: Bacteria; Pseudomonadati; Thermomicrobiota; Thermomicrobia; Thermomicrobiales
Description: SSU rRNA
Rfam family: Bacterial small subunit ribosomal RNA
Source: RNAcentral